GCAGCUACACAUGCAGUCGAGCGCGAAAGGCCUUCGGGCUGAGUAGAGCGGCGGACGGGUGAGUAACGCGUAGGAAUCUACCUGGUAGUGGGGGACAACAUGGUGAAAACCAUGCUAAUACCGCAUACGCCCUAUGGGGGAAAGCGGGGGACCUUCGGGCCUCGCGCUAUCAGAUGAGCCUGCGUAGGAUUAGCUUGUUGGUGAGGUAAAGGCUCACCAAGGCGACGAUCCUUAGCUGGUCUGAGAGGAUGAUCAGCCACACUGGAACUGAGACACGGUCCAGACUCCUACGGGAGGCAGCAGUGGGGAAUAUUGCGCAAUGGGCGAAAGCCUGACGCAGCCAUGCCGCGUGUGUGAAGAAGGCCUUCGGGUUGUAAAGCACUUUCAAUUGGGAAGAAAGGUUGCGUGUUAAUAGCACGUAGCUGUGACGUUACCUUUAGAAGAAGCACCGGCUAACUCCGUGCCAGCAGCCGCGGUAAUACGGAGGGUGCGAGCGUUAAUCGGAAUUACUGGGCGUAAAGCGCGCGUAGGCGGUUUGUUAAGUCGGAUGUGAAAUCCCCGGGCUCAACCUGGGAAUGGCAUUCGAUACUGGCCGACUAGAGUACGAGAGAGGGAGGUAGAAUUCCACGUGUAGCGGUGAAAUGCGUAGAUAUGUGGAGGAAUACCGGUGGCGAAGGCGCCCUCCUGGCUCGAUACUGACGCUGAGGUGCGAAAGCGUGGGUAGCAAACAGGAUUAGAUACCCUGGUAGUCCACGCCGUAAACGAUGUCUACUAGCCGUU
Molecule: ribosomal RNA, 780 nt
Filed under: uncultured bacterium
Lineage: Bacteria
Description: bacterial SSU rRNA
Rfam family: Bacterial small subunit ribosomal RNA
Source: RNAcentral